AGUGAACGCUGGCGGCAGGCCUAACACAUGCAAGUCGAACGGCAGCACAGUAAUAGCUUGCUCUUACGGGUGUCGCGUGGCGGACGGGGGCUGUAUACAUCGGAUUCUACUUUUUCGUGUGUGCUAACGUAGGGAAUCUUACUCUAAUACCGCAUACGUCCCCCGUGUGAAAGCACGCGUUCUUCUGACCUUUCGCGUUUGAUUGAGCCGAUGUCGGAUUAGCUAGUUGGCGUGGUAAAGGCCCACCAAGGCGACGAUCCGUAGCUGGUCUCAGCGGAUGAUCAGCCAGACUGGAACUGAGACACGGUCCAGACUCCUACGGGAGGACGCAGUGGGGAAUAUUGGGCGAAGGGGGAAAGCCUGAUCCAGCCAUACCGCGUGGGUGAAGAAGGACUUCGGGUUGGAAAACGAUUUUGUUGGGAAAGAAAAGCAGCAGGUUAAUAGCCGGCUGUACUGACGGUACCCAAAGAAUAAGCACCGGCUAACUUCGUG
Molecule: ribosomal RNA, 492 nt
Filed under: uncultured bacterium
Lineage: Bacteria
Description: partial 16S ribosomal RNA
Rfam family: Bacterial small subunit ribosomal RNA
Source: RNAcentral